UUCACAGUACACAAGCGUUCAUUGCAUUUGGAGCCUUGAACCAGAAUGACUGGAACCAGCCUACAAUAUUUGGUGAAUUAGGUGAUCUCAGCAACAAUGUGUCUUGGCAAAGUGAACUACCCAAAAUACAGAGAUUCUCUCCUGAAAAUGGCGCUUCACCAUUCCUCAGUAGCAGUCCACAGGUCUACUCUGGGUCCUUGGGCUUCCGACUAGUGAGCAGAUCAGUCUGUACACAGACCUACUACCUCAGACCUACAUGUUUCUGCCAUGCUGGGGAUGUACCUUCUGCCUUUCUUAUUCUAGCCCUGAGAACAGUAAUAAAAUCACCAGGACCAAAACAGUCCUCUCUGACCACCACUGCCCUCUAUGUGUCGUCUUCCCCAU
Phascolarctos cinereus (koala) is the source of this 384-nucleotide non-coding RNA. NCBI's taxonomy places the organism in Eukaryota, Metazoa, Chordata, Mammalia, Diprotodontia, Phascolarctidae. The record is from RefSeq and is a predicted model, not a curated record.